GCAGUCGUGGCCGAGUGGUUAAGGCGAUAGACUAGAAAUCCAUUGGAGUCUCUCCGCACAGGUUCAAAUCCUGUCGACUGCG
This is a non-coding RNA of Ixodes scapularis (black-legged tick), 82 nucleotides long. NCBI's taxonomy places the organism in Eukaryota, Metazoa, Arthropoda, Arachnida, Ixodida, Ixodidae. The record is from Rfam.